AUGUCAAAAUUCUGCUUUUUUGUCACUAGUUAUCAGGGGAGAGCGCGAACGCAGUCCCCCACUACCACAAAUUAUGCAGUCGAGUUUCCCGCAUUUGGGGGAAAUCGCAGGGGUCAGCCCAUCCGGAGUGCAAUGGAUAAGCCUCGCCCUGGGGAAACCACCUUCGUGAUCAUGGAAUCACCCCUGCCAGGUAAGUAUGCUUUGCCGUCGCGCACGCCGGCACGCCCUCCACAGCCACACACCUUACGCACAGGACUACUAACACACCCACCCACGGUUAUGCAGACCGACAAACACAUCACACACACUCACAAGAUACAUUCUCCACAAACACCUCCCCCCACCAUUCUCACCGGGCCCCUCUCAUCCUGGAAAUACACCUUGACCGCAGGCACUAACGGCUUACACUAAACAAGGCCAGAAGUCUCCUUAUCUGCAUACCAUCAGCCUCUUCCUGACGUCACAAAACAACCCUGCCCAGAGUGACACUGCCAUCUAAUGCUCAGAAUUCCAGAAAGAAUCUGAAUGGAAUUUUUAAAAAUACCUGAAAGUCGAUGCACAUUAAACACUAUUUGAAUACAAAUAAUAUGGAGGGGCAGCUGGGUGGCUCAGGGCAUUGAGAGCCAGGCCUAGAGACAGGAAGUUCUGGGUUCAAAUAUGGCCUCAAACACUUCCCAGCUGUGUGACCCUGGGCAGGUCACUUAACCCCCAUUGCCUAGCCCUGACCACUCUUCUGCCUUGGAGUCAAUACACAUUGACUCGACGACAUUAAAGUUUAAAAAAAAAAAGAAAGAAAAUUAGACAUGACUGCAUGUUUGUGUGACACUUUGAAAGAGCAGAAAGCCCAGUGGACUUGCUGUCCCCAAACCACCACUGAAAUCUCCUCUGGGCCACUAACCACCUGUGCAAACUUGGGGUUUUACAUGGAAAAGUGAGAACCUUCUCCUAACAUGGUCCAAAAGAUCCUUUCCUGCUCAAGAUCCUACCACCUUGAUUCACACACACACACACACACACACACACACACACACACACACACACACACACAUGAAUGGAUCAGCCAUUCCCAUUUGAUGAGCAUUCUCUUGGUUUAUAGUUCUCUGCCACCACUCCCCCCAAAACCUGCUAUCAAUGCCUUUGUGCCUAAGAGUGCUUCCCUCCUUGAUCUCUUUUGAGCUGCAAGCCAGGGAAGGAUAUCAUCACUUCAUCCAAGAAUCUCAUGAGAUGGAGAAUUUGGGGAACUGCUGGAGCAGGCGCUAAUACCAUCAUUCUCUAAAUUCACCAUUAAUGUUGGGAGAAAAUGAAGCAUUCUUAAGUCACUGAAGAGUUCACAGGAGGAACACUAGAAUAGCAAGGACAUGCAAUCAUAGCUUCCCUGGAUGUGGUCCUACCAGCUUCCAUCAGAUGAGGU
RNAcentral lists this long non-coding RNA (1411 nucleotides) under Monodelphis domestica (gray short-tailed opossum). RNAcentral describes it as "lncRNA (ENSMODG00000041407.1)". Lineage: Eukaryota; Metazoa; Chordata; Mammalia; Didelphimorphia; Didelphidae. The record is from RNAcentral.